UACGUAGGGGGCUAGCGUUGUCCGGAUUCAUUGGGCGUAAAGAGCUCGUAGGCGGUCUGUUGCGUCCGCUGUGAAAACUCGGGGCUUAACCCCGAGCCUGCAGUGGAUACGGGCAGACUAGAGGUAGGUAGGGGAGAAUGGAAUUCCCGGUGUAGCGGUGAAAUGCGUUGAUAUCCGAAGGAACACCGGUGGCGAAAGCGGCUUACUGGGUCUUCUCUGACGCUGAGGCACGAAAGCUAGGGUAGCAAACGGG
This 253-nucleotide ribosomal RNA is filed under the name uncultured bacterium. Its description in RNAcentral is "partial 16S ribosomal RNA". It matches the Rfam family "Bacterial small subunit ribosomal RNA", at positions 524 to 776 of the family's 1533-position model. The record is from RNAcentral.